CUUGUUUUCCUUUCUGGUCUAUUGUUAUUAACUUGACUUUGGAGAUAAGAGGCUACUUUAGUCCCAUGAUUAUUCCCUGUUCAGUUGUCUUUGGUUGAGUGUGCUAAACACAGUUGAUAGCCAUCACCUAGAAUUUCUGCAGUGUAGACAUUGUUCAUUGGAAAUUGGAUGAUACCAUCAAAUCAACUUCCAAAGCAUCAGAAAGAAUUUAUCAGGCCCAAUCACACACUCAUUUAUGUGAACUUAUCUCCUGUUUCAGUGCUAACCGAAAAGAAAAUGGCUCCAUCAGUCUGGUCAAUACUAUAAUCCCCUGUAAGGAAAUACAACUUCAGAAAGAAAUCUGUAUAUUUAACAGGAAUACAGUGAGCAGCAGUCCUAUGUGCUGACAGCAAGAAGGAUGGGACAUCAUGAGAAACAAAGUGAGUGCUGUGAGUGCUCUUUUUGGAGAGUUAAAAACAGACACUGAAUCAUUAAAAAGAUUACAAAGUGGCAUUGAAUUAGUAAGCAGAAAGAAACAGUGUUUUGCUCAUGCACUUAUCAUGCCAUAA
Molecule: long non-coding RNA, 548 nt
Filed under: Coturnix japonica (Japanese quail)
Lineage: Eukaryota; Metazoa; Chordata; Aves; Galliformes; Phasianidae
Description: lncRNA (ENSCJPG00005016460.1)
Source: RNAcentral